RNAcentral lists this unclassified non-coding RNA (913 nucleotides) under Hevea brasiliensis (rubber tree). The record is from RNAcentral. Lineage: Eukaryota; Viridiplantae; Streptophyta; Magnoliopsida; Malpighiales; Euphorbiaceae.
GAAAAAUUUCACCAACCCAAUUUAUGAACCCCAAUUUCUCUUCUCUACUCUAAAGCUUCAAUCUUGCUUUCUCACGUAUCUCUCUCCCUCUAUACCCCCUCCCUGUGUUAUUGUUAGGAGAAGUCUUUCUUUUUAUUUUAUGGUCUUCUAUAUAUAGAUAUAUAGCAAAAAGUCUAGUGAUUUUCAUGUUCUACUUGGGGACAAAAGUGCUUCUUGACCUCUGUUAUUUUCUUUUGUUUGUUUUGCUGGCUUUCACUGACCUGCAGAGCCAGACAAGGUAUGCUUACAUUCCGUCUUCAAACCGCAAAACCUUCCUUAGUCUCAAAUACCCAGUUCUUAUCUCUGCAACUUGUUUUCUACUUUUUGGGUUUUCUGGUUCUAGUUGUGGUCUUUCCUGAGCAAUACAAUAGCACAGCAAGUUUGCAUUUUUAGCUCUACUUGUUUAGGAGCGCCCUUAGCCCUAAAAUGACUCUGCAUAUUAGUUUGAAUGGAGUUGCAGAGGCUUAAAGUAUUGUUUGAAAUGGUCUCAGAAGCAUAUAUGAUAUAGAGGUUGUGUUUUAAAGCAUUGGGGGAGGCUUUUGCUGUGGUUUUGGCUUUUUGGUUCAAAGUUGCUGCUCUUCUCUUUGCGAGUUUUUGGCUUGAUUCCAAAUGGGUUUCGGUUUCUUUGGUUCUAUCUUGGUUCUUUCAAUGUUCUUCAAGCCUUUACCUUGUCAACAACCCAAUACAGAUGCUUUCUUUGUCUCUGAGUUUUUGAAGAAGAUGAAUUUCACUUCUUCUCCACUUUUUAAUUUCUCUGCUUCCGUUUGUUCGUGGCAAGGCUUGUUCUGUGAUGCCGAAGAAAAUGUUUGGGGGUUAGUGGCUUCUGGUGAUGGCCUCUCUGGUUCCAUUCCUGAUACCACCAUUGGCAAGCUAA